This 74-nucleotide transfer RNA is filed under the name Ipomoea nil (Japanese morning glory). It matches the Rfam family "tRNA". From Rfam's summary of the family: Transfer RNA (tRNA) molecules are approximately 80 nucleotides in length. Their secondary structure includes four short double-helical elements and three loops (D, anti-codon, and T loops). The record is from Rfam by way of RNAcentral. Lineage: Eukaryota; Viridiplantae; Streptophyta; Magnoliopsida; Solanales; Convolvulaceae.
UUCGUUGUAGUCUAGUUGGUUAGGACACUCGGCUCUCACCCGAGAGACUCGGGUUCAAACUCCCGGCAACUGGA